AGAACGAACGUUGGCGGCGUGGAUGAGGCAUGCAAGUCGAGCGUGAAACCCCGCAAGGGGGAGUAAAGCGGCGAAAGGGUGAGUAAUACGUAAUCAACCUACCCUCGAGACUGGGAUAACCAUGGGAAACUGUGGCUAAUACCGGAUAAACUACUCGGAUCGCAUGAUCUGAUUAGUAAAUGAUAGGGAUCCUUCGGGUACCUUUUGCUCGUGGAGGGGAUUGCGGCCCAUCAGCUAGUUGGCGGGUAACGCCCACCAGGCGAUGACGGUGCAGGCCUGAGAGGGUGUCUCGCCACAGUUGGGACUGACGACACUCGCCCAGACCUCCGUACGGGA
Molecule: ribosomal RNA, 336 nt
Filed under: uncultured soil bacterium
Lineage: Bacteria
Description: bacterial SSU rRNA
Rfam family: Bacterial small subunit ribosomal RNA
Source: RNAcentral